UUUUCUGAACAUUUCUCUAGUCUCAGUAGCGUCGAACUCCUUUAGGUUUUUGAUAGGAUUUCUUUCUCUUUGUAGUUUAGCUGAAGUUCGGUCGACUCUUUCUUUGUUUAGGAACUUCUACACCUUCAAGCGUCAUCCCUCGGCAAAGGACUGGUGGUACUUUUUCCCUCAGUUCGAUAGAAAGGGGUUUACUGAAAGGCGCCCCCUCUUCUAUCCACAACUGGAAGGAGAGGUUCUUCUAUGUCCGAUGCCCGACCUUGGAGCUAGGAUUACCCCCUUGGGGCUCUCUGAGGGAUUCCGUCCGUCGGGCUUCUAGCCUGGAAAGGGACGACCUCGAAGCCUCCAAAAAGCUCGAGACCUAUCACGCCCCCCUCCUCUCCGAACUUCUGAAGGAACAACUCUUGUUCAACGUCGGCCUGAGUCCUCUUUACCCUGCCGGUACCAUUUUUUUUUCACUACUUCCCCUUUCUCUUAUUCCAUCUCUGAGCCGUGUUGAUCUUCUUUUAUUGCAGACAUGGACGCAGGCGUGGCUCGGAGGUUAGCCUAGGGUCUCAAGACCCACAAGAGAAAAGACGCCUCGACUUCAAGGUCGGUGAAGAAAGCCAGGACAGAAGGGACAAGCUCGACCGCACCUGCUCAGGUGGCCGUUGCCGUUGACGUCCCUUCCGACACCGAACCCGAAGUCCCCCGAGCCCUUUCAAGGAGCCCCCCGGCCAAGGAUCCCACUCCAGAGGCUCAUCCCGAGGGGGCACCCAGAGCCGAAGGGAGGAGAAAGAAGACCC
Molecule: long non-coding RNA, 782 nt
Filed under: Elaeis guineensis (African oil palm)
Lineage: Eukaryota; Viridiplantae; Streptophyta; Magnoliopsida; Arecales; Arecaceae
Description: long non-coding RNA (EGUI_LNC077798)
Source: RNAcentral